RNAcentral lists this long non-coding RNA (4953 nucleotides) under Eucalyptus grandis. Its description in RNAcentral is "long non-coding RNA (EGRA_LNC003136)". Lineage: Eukaryota; Viridiplantae; Streptophyta; Magnoliopsida; Myrtales; Myrtaceae. The record is from RNAcentral.
AUUCUCUCAUUUUCAUCUGCUGUUAGACCAUUAGGUGUCUCUUUCGGUCUCUAAAUGAUGAUGAGGCCUCGGAUGACCCGAAGCAGUCUUUCUAUGCUUGCGGUAUCAACGGAGAACUGAAGCUCAAAACGAGAAGCGGUUUGGCUCCAGGAUUCGGCAACGGAUUCUUCUCGGCAGUGCAAGGUGAGUUUCGCCCGGCCACUGUUUCCUUUCAAUAUAUGAGCUGUGUCAUGGUCAACAGUUGCUCAGAUUUGGCAGAGUGUUACAACUUUCCCACAAAAAAUUUGCGUUCCCUUUUUGCCUCAGCGUGGCCACGGCUACUUUUGUUGUUUGAGGAGCUGAUGAUGGCUGCCGGAGCACCGCCAUCAUCAGCUUGGUGGAAGUUGCAGUCAGUCUCCGGUGGCUGAACCUUAGACAGAGCAAAAAAGGUCUUUUUCUUAUUUGAACUUUGAACUAGACCGCGACGGUCAAUACAUGUCAUCUGCUUAAAGAAAAUCUUGCAAUACUUAUUUAAUGGAAGGGCAUGAUAUAGGAAUUUUAUGUAGAAUUCCAUAGAAUAUGGUAUAUCUUUUUCAUUUGUCUGAGUUGGAUAUACCAGUGGAUAUGCUUUUACUUUCCCCUUUAUUAUAUAUAUUCAGCUCAAUUCUGUUAAAAAACACCAACUCAAACUCGAGUCUCUUAGAAAAACACCAACUUUAGGUUGGGUCUCAAAUUUAACUUAAGCUUUUUCUUGUCUCGUAAAAAAACAUUAAUUUUAGCUCAUUACCUAAUUUUGGCCUAUAAACCAAAAAAGAAAAAGAAGCAAUUCUGCUCUAAAUUUUUUUAUUGAAAUCGUAAACACCAUCAGUCAGCAUUCAAAUCCGGCCCUUGUCAAGUUUCCAUUUAAUAUGAUAUUAAAGAUUAGAAUAUUCAAUGUGUCAUUUUAUGUGUACUCGGUGAAAAUUUGAUGGAAACUUGACAUGACUUAGAUUCAGGUGUCAACUAAAAGUAUGAGACAAUAAAAAAGUUUGGGCCUAGAUUGGGACCCAGCCUAGAUUGGUGUUUUUGAAUGACAUAAAAUAAAGUUUGGAUCAUAAUUAGGACACGAUUUAAAGUGGUUCUUUUUCAUGAGAUUGAAAGAAGUUUGGGCCAAAAUUGGAACAUGGCCUAAAGUUUAUUAUUUUUUAAAGGAAUUAAGUCUAAAUAUAUCUUGCAAAAUGCUAAGGGAAAACGAAACUUUUAUUAGACGUCCAAGUAUACAUUAUAGAGGGCAAUUAUGGUUGAUGCAAUUACUAUGUGUGGUCUAGGUCUUUCUUUCUUUUUUUGGGGGGUGAGCAUGGUUCUAGGAUAAAAUUGGAAAUCCGAAUGAACCAUUUCAAUUCCAGGGUAUGCAGGGUAGACUCCAAGUUCCAAAAUUGGGGAACCAGUUCUAACAGGUAGGUUCAAAAAAUUGAGGACUCGGAACUUGUCUUUGUGUUUUUCUUAUUCUAUAUUUUUGUGUAAUCUUGCAGUAUUCCAAAGCAUCUAAUGAUGAGGGUGUGAUUUAAAACCACUAGUCUAAGCUUUCAUUUUCGACGAUAUCCAUAACCGAUAGUUUUAUUUGUUCAGAUUUCAUAUUCUUCUAGAUUCUAAAUAUGAGUUAAGGCUGGUAGACUAUAGCAGUAAACGGUACUCAUUAGAGAUGAUAAUUCAAUUAAGAAUAUAUGUGGAACAUAAAUAGAUCUCGAAAUCUAUGAAUUUAUGAUAAAGUAAAUUUUAGGUUUUAAGGUAUGCAGAGUAGGUUUUUUAUUCCAAAAAUUGGAAAAGCAAUUUCAACGGAUAGAUUCUAAUUUUCAAGUGAAAUCAGGAUCAAUAGUAGAACUAGUCACCCCUACAUGCUAUUCUUAUUAUUUUCCUGGACUCUCACUAGGGAUCAUUGCCCAUCAUAGCAACGUGAGCUUACUGUGUUGGACGCAAAAAGACACCACAACCAAGAUAAAGGCAAAAGAUGAUCAUACAACUAACCAUUUAGUCGAGAUAGAUGGCUAAGUGGAAGGCAUAAUGGACUAGUUUGACCAUGACUUUUACUGUGCAAAUGUCUCUCACUGAGGCCAGCUUUUCCAUGCAUUGGAACCAUGGAAACAAAAGGUCUAGAUAUAACGUUUAGCAAAACGAUUUACCACCAAAUCCAUAAAAAAAAAAAUGCUGACUCCAAAUUUCGAAAAAGAUUUUCAUUUUGCUCCCAAACAAUUUUCUCUAGCACCUUACGUUGAGUUGGACGAUGUUUUACAUUGCUUGGAGCCAGUGAAACUAAAGGUCGAGAUCAGACGUCCAAGAAAAUGACUUUCCCCCAAAUCCAAACAAAUUACCAAUUCCUACUUCGGAAAAAGAUUUCUAUAUGCUCUCACAAAUAAUUUUUUCUUGCAACCAUGUUCUGCAUUCAUUGAAACGAGUGAAACAAAAUGUCUAAAUUCGACUUUUAGGAAAAUGACUUACCACCAAGUCCACAAAAAUUGCUGACCCUGACUUUGGAAGAAGAUUUUAUAUGCUCCCCAAACAAUUUUCUCUUGCAGUCUGUGAGUAGUGCAAGUUUUUACAUUAAUUGGAACCAGUAAAACUAAAAGUCGAGAUCCAACGUCCAAGAAAACAACUUUCCACCAAAUCCAAACAAAAUGUUGACUCCUACUUUGAAAAAAGAUUUCAAUAUGCUCUCGCAAAGUUUUCUUGCAACCGCGUGUGAGUGGGACGACAUUUUACAUUCAUUGGAACGAGUGAAACAAAAGGUCUAGAUUUGACUUUUAGAAAAAUAACUAUCAACCAAAUCAACAAAAAUUGCUCACUCUGACUUAGGAAAAGGAUUUUCAUACACUCCCCCAAACAAUUUUCUCUUGCACCGUGCGUGAGUGGGACGAGUUUUUACAUUGAUUGGAACCAACGAAACUAAAGAUUUAUAUUGAUGUCCAAGAAAACGACUUUCCACCAAAUGCAAAAAUGCUCUCUCAAACAAUUUUUUCUUGUAGCCAUGUAAAAAUGGAAUAAGAUUUUAUUUUCACUGGAACGAGGGAAACAAAAGGUUUAGAUUUAACUUUUAGGAAAACGACUUUCCACCAAAUUCACAAAAAGUGCUGACUUCAACUUUGGAAAAAGAUUUUCAUAUGUUCCUCAAACAAUUUCCUCUUGCAACAUGGAUGUAAGGGACGCGCUUUCACAUUGCUUCAAACCAGUGAAAUUAAAUGUCGAAAUUUGACGUCUAAGAAAACGACUUUCUACCAAAUCCAAACAAGUUGCUGACUCCUACUUUGCAAAAAGAUUUCUAUUUGCUCUCUCAUACAAUUUUUUUCUCGCAACCAUGUGUGAGUGGGACAAGCUUUUACAUUCAUCGGAACGAGUGAAACAAAAUGUCAAGAUCUUACCUUUAAGAAAGCAACUUUCCACCAAAACCACAAAAUAUAGUUUCAAUCACUUUUGUUAAUUCUUUUUAACACUAAUUGUUGAAAAAGGGGAAAAAAAUAGAAAUGGGAGGCAAGAAAAAUUAAUUCAAUAAUAAAUAAUACAAAAACAAAUUCAAAAAUAAGUAAGAGAAUAUUAACCAGCCAAUAGAACUAAUAAAGUUAUUUUCUUCAAAUUAAAUAAAAAGCGAAAAUCCUCAAUAAAAAAAGAAGAGAAAAUGGUAAAAAUUUAUUACUCGAUGUAUGUUUAAAGAAUUAUUAAUGUAAAAAAUAAUUGAUUAUUAAAAAAUUUUAAAAAAUAAAAGAAUAUGACUAAUCGAAAUCCCAAGUGAUAUAUUUUAUUGUUCACAGUUUGUUUUAUUGAUUGACCAUUUAAAAGUACACAAAUAGUAUCCAAAUUUUGGAAUUAGGCAUUGUUGCUGUUGAGGUAUUCUUUCCCAGUUUGCUUAUUUUUGUUUCCUUUUCUUAAAAUAUCUUAUCAAUUAAAUUUAAUAAAUUUUACAUGUUAAUAAUUAUCUUUUCUGAUAUCAAAUUUUAAUUAACUUAUCUUUCUCCAUUUUCUUUAUUUUUCAUUUUUUUAAUAGAAAUCAAGGAUAAAAGAGAGAUUCCUAUAAAAAGAGUUACCAUUAAAAAAAAAGUCACGUGCAUUACAUAUGCUAACAGAAAAUAUAAUGGACAGUUAAUGGUUGUAAUAAAAUGAAAGAUCAUGGGGGUAAUAAGUAACAACUGAAAAUUCGAAGACAAAUGUGUACUACAACAGAAAUUUGAGAUAAUUUUGCGUAAUUUCCCCCUUUUUAUCUUUUGGCUUUCGUCUUAUUUUUUAUUUUGGAUUCUAAGGUUUUCUAUUUUUUUUUAAUUUUCUUAUUUGACGUGGCACAUCAACACGGCAUAUGCCAAAAAACACUAAAAGAUGCUUCUAACAUAUCAGGUCAGGAAAGUUGGGUACCAUCACGCUAGAAGGAAUUGAUUUUUAAAACGUUAGGGACUGAUCGCAAUUUUCAAACGUUUGGAUACUUGAUUUUAAUUAGCAAAAACGUGCAAUUUUCCCCCUUUUCUUCUGAAAUAGAUGUCAAAGGUUAUGCUUACACAGUUACAGUAUCUUUGGUAGAGGAGAUCCGGAGGAAGGAACAAAAAAAAUUUAGAAGUGAUAUCUCCUUCCUUUUUUAAUGUAAGAAGAAUAAAGUAAUGGGUUAGGAGCGAUUGGAAGUAAUUAAUAGAAAUGAAUACCAAAAAAAAAAUCAAAUCCUUUCCUCCUCUUUGAUUUUCUUAUUUUCCUUUUGAUUCACAUCUAGCAUUGGAGAGAACUAUAUGCUCUCGAAUAAAUGGAGACAAUGGGACGAAUGUGUCGUCGGUUGAAACGUGAAAAUUACCUCUUUUUCUUAUUUGCAUGAUCGAGUGAGAAACGUGUGCUAAAAAUAAAUCCGCCGGGGGAAUGCAUUUAGAUACUGCGUGCCACGCUCAUUCAAUAAUUUCUCUCAUUUUCAUCUGCUGUUAGACCAUCAGGUGUCUCUUUGGGUCAACGAACGGUAAUGAGGCAUCAAAUGAC